GAUAAGAGCCAUACGGGAAACCGUUGUGACGACUCAUCGUAAAAUCAUUGAAUCACGCUUUAGUGCAGUGAUAUCACACAUGAACUUCUGAUCGAUUAGGUAUCGUUGUUUGGAUAGAGGCCAAACAAGCCGGUGAUCGGUACGAGGAAUGGAUGUUCGAUUUCGUAGAAUACGCCUGAGAGACGGCGAAUACUCUCACGAGAGGCAGCAGGCUCGUAAAUUACCCAAUUACAACAAGUAGAGGUAGCGAAGGAAAAUAUGGAGGGAGGUAGGUUUUGCCUAUUUCAUCUCUAAAUGGAAGCAAAUUAAAUAUGUCAUUGAAAGCAAGAAGAGGAAAAGUAUCGGUGCCAGCACCCGCGGUAAUUCCAGCUCUUCUAGCGUAUAUCGAAGUUGAUGCAGUUAAAACGCUCGUAGUCGGAGCUGUUGAGUUGGAGGAUGAAAUGUCUAGUAGUUCGAAAGGAUUAUUGGAAACUCCACUCAUUCAUUGGAUCGUGCGUGUGCAUGGGUUCGCCUGUGAUUACUGCCCUUCCACUUUUACUUUGAGUAAUUCAGAGUGUUCAUAGCAGUCGAUUGACUGAAUAUUUUAGCAUGGGAUAAUAGAAUAUGGCAAGCGGCCUUUUCUAUGGUUCUUGAUGGCUAUUUUUGCAAUGAUCAAUGGGAGUGGAUGGGGUUGCCGGUAUUAUGGAGCUAGAGGUGAAAUUCUAUGAUUUCUAUAGGACCAACAAAUGCGAAAGCAUCCAACCAGUACACGUCCGUCGAUCAAGAACGAAGGGAGUGGUAUCGAAGAUGAUCAGAUACCGUCGUAGUCACUCCAGUAAACGAUGAUAGCUCGAGGCGGUAGGACUGUAGCUUAAAAUCUGCAUUUUACCGAAUCGUGUGAGAAAUCAAAGCGUAUCUCCGGGGGGAGUAUGGCCGCAAGACUGAAACUUAAAGGAAUUGACGGAAGGGCACCACCAGGCGUGGAACCUGCGGCUUAAUUUGACUCAACACGGGAAAACUUACCGGGUCCGGACAUAGUAAGGAUUGACAGGCUUAAGGCCUUUCUUGAUUCUGUGGGUGGUGGUGCAUGGCCGUUCUUAGUUGGUGGAUUGAUUUGUCUGUUUAAUUACGAUAACGAACGAGACGAUCACGAGAUAAUAGGCCGGAUAAAGGAGACUUUGUCUUGGUUCCUUCUCUCUCGGAUCAAUGGAUUCCAAGCCAUUUGAAACGAUCGCAAUAACAGGUCUGUGAUGCCCUUAGAUGUUCCGGGCUGCACGCGCGUUACAAUGAUGACGUCAAUCAGUUUGGAAGGAUUUACUUCUUCCUCUGCUUCCUCGAAAGGGGUGGCUACUCUAACAAACGUCAUCAUGCUGGGGAUAGAUGAUUGUAAUUAUUCGUCUUGAACCAGGAAUGCCUAGUAAGCGCUUGUCAUCAGCAAGCGUUGAUUACGUCCCUGCCCUUUGUACACACCGCCCGUCGCUCCUACCGAUUGGAUUGUCCGGUGAGAACGGAGGAUUGUGGCAAGUGAUGAGCAAUCAUUAUUUGUUGUGAAAAUCCGUUCAAAUCUUAUAAUCUAGAGGAAGGAGAAGUCGUAACAAGGUCUUCGUAGGUGAACCUGCGAAGG
RNAcentral lists this ribosomal RNA (1603 nucleotides) under wastewater metagenome. Its description in RNAcentral is "bacterial SSU rRNA". It matches the Rfam family "Eukaryotic small subunit ribosomal RNA", at positions 214 to 1823 of the family's 1831-position model. The record is from RNAcentral.